UGGGGAAUAUUGCACAAUGGGCGCAAGCCUGAUGCAGCCAUGCCGCGUGUAUGAAGAAGGCCUUCGGGUUGUAAAGUACUUUCAGCGGGGAGGAAGGGAGUAAAGUUAAUACCUUUGCUCAUUGACGUUACCCGCAGAAGAAGCACCGGCUAACUCCGUGCCAGCAGCCGCGGUAAUACGGAGGGUGCAAGCGUUAAUCGGAAUUACUGGGCGUAAAGCGCACGCAGGCGGUCUGUCAAGUCGGAUGUGAAAUCCCCGGGCUCAACUUGGGAACUGCAUCUGAUACUGGCAAGCUUGAGUCUCGUAGAGGGGGGUAGAAUUCCAGGUGUAGCGAUGAAAUGCGUAGAGAUCUGGAGGAAUACCGGUGGCGAAGGCGGCCCCCUGGACGAAGACUGACGCUCAGGUGCGAAAGCGUGGGGAGCAAACAGG
This 429-nucleotide ribosomal RNA is filed under the name Chloroflexota bacterium. RNAcentral's name for it is "Chloroflexi bacterium partial 16S ribosomal RNA". It matches the Rfam family "Bacterial small subunit ribosomal RNA", at positions 355 to 776 of the family's 1533-position model. The record is from RNAcentral. Lineage: Bacteria; Bacillati; Chloroflexota.